RNAcentral lists this small nucleolar RNA (189 nucleotides) under Naumovozyma dairenensis CBS 421. RNAcentral's name for it is "Small nucleolar RNA snR4". It matches the Rfam family "Small nucleolar RNA snR4". The record is from Rfam by way of RNAcentral. Lineage: Eukaryota; Fungi; Ascomycota; Saccharomycetes; Saccharomycetales; Saccharomycetaceae.
AACUAUAACAGUCGAUGAGGAGAGGUUUUAGUUCAUGUUAACAUCCGUGCUCAAAGAAAGAGUUCAUAGAUAUACCAGAGAUAAACCAUAUAGAUUAUAUGCCUUUAUCUUAUUGGGAUCGAUGUGGAUUGUACCGUGGCCAUUUCACCACCUUAAUAGCGGUGCUUUGAUUAGGAAAAGCUGAGGCUG